Molecule: ribosomal RNA, 497 nt
Filed under: uncultured bacterium
Lineage: Bacteria
Description: partial 16S ribosomal RNA
Rfam family: Bacterial small subunit ribosomal RNA
Source: RNAcentral
GAUGAACGCUGGCGGCGUGCCUAAUACAUGCAAGUCGAACGAACAGACGAGGAGUUUGCUCCUCUGACGAUAGCGGCGGACGGGUGUGUCACAUGUGGAUAACCUACCUAUAAGACUGGGAUCACUUCGGAAAUCCGGCUCUAAUACCGGAUAAUCUCUUGAACCGCAUGGUUCAAUAGAGAAUGACGGCUUUGCUGUCACUUCUAGAUGCAUCCGCGCCGCAUUAGAUAGUUGGUAAGGUAACAGCUUACCAAGGCAACGAGGCGUAGACGACCUGUUAGGCUGAUCGGCCGCACGGGAACGGAGCCACGGUCAAGGCGCCUGCGGGAGGCAGCAGUAGGGUAUCGGCCGCAGUAGUGGAGAGCCUGACGGAGCAACGCCGCGUGAGUGAUGAAGGUCUUCGGAGCGGAAUACUCUGUUAUGAGGGAUGAACAAAUUUGUAUUGAGCUAUGCACGUCGUGACGGUACCGGAUCAGGAAGCCACGGCUAACUACGUG